Molecule: ribosomal RNA, 101 nt
Filed under: Sorex araneus (European shrew)
Lineage: Eukaryota; Metazoa; Chordata; Mammalia; Eulipotyphla; Soricidae
Source: RNAcentral
CCACCCUGACACUCCCCUGACACUCCCGAUCUCGUCUGAUCUUGGAAGUUAAGCAGGGUUGCGCCUGGUUAGGGCCUGGUGAGUACUUGGAUUGGGGAGGG